GACGAACGCUGGCGGCGUGCUUAACACAUGCAAGUCGUACGGUAAGGCCCUUUCGGGGGUACACGAGUGGCGAACGGGUGAGUAACACGUGAGUAACCUGCCCACAACUUUGGGAUAACGCUAGGAAACUGGUGCUAAUACUGGAUAUGUGCUCCUGCUGCAUGGUGGGGGUUGGAAAGCUCCGGCGGUUGUGGAUGGACUUGCGGCCUAUCAGCUUGUUGGUGGGGUAGUGGCCUACCAAGGCGGCGACGGGUAGCCGGCCUGAGAGGGUGACCGGCCACAUUGGGACUGAGAUACGGCCCAGACUCCUACGGGAGGCAGCAGUGGGGAAUAUUGCACAAUGGGCGCGAGCCUGAUGCAGCAACGCCGCGUGCGGGAUGACGGCCUUCGGGUUGAAAACCGCUUUCAGCAGGGACGAAGCUUUUUGUGACGGUACCUGCAGAAGAAGCACCGGCUAACUACGUG
Molecule: ribosomal RNA, 465 nt
Filed under: uncultured bacterium
Lineage: Bacteria
Description: partial 16S ribosomal RNA
Rfam family: Bacterial small subunit ribosomal RNA
Source: RNAcentral